Molecule: long non-coding RNA, 1586 nt
Organism: Oncorhynchus tshawytscha (Chinook salmon)
Lineage: Eukaryota; Metazoa; Chordata; Actinopteri; Salmoniformes; Salmonidae
Source: Ensembl
GUAAGACCAGUCUGAACGAGUGGACCCUAUCGUGUCGCAGAGCUUUUUCAUGCGCAUGUGCAUUUCUUAUUUACCUUUUAUAUUGACGACGUUAUUGUCCAGUUGAAAUAUUAUAGAUCAUUUAGACUACAAAACAACCCGAGGAUUGAAUAUAAACAUCGUUUGACAUAUUUCUAUGAACUUUACGGAUACAAUUUGGAUUUUUUGUCAGAUUGUUUUGAUUGCGUUUGAGCCUGUGGAUUACUGAAGAAAACGAGCUAACAAAAUUGAUGUUUUUGGAUAUAAAGAGACUUCAUCGAACAAAAGGAACAUUUAUUGAGUAAAUGAAUGUCUUCUGAUUGCCUCCAUAUGAAGAUCAUCAAAGGAUUAUCCGCUCCGAUAACCGAGACACCAGACCAGCUUGGCGGCAGAGAGACAAGCCAGCUGAAAUCAGAAUUACCACGACAGACGACAGCAACAAGAAGAAGCGCUAAGAUGUGUUUGGACCCAAGAAGGACAGGAAGGCACAGUACACAUGCAUCAAGUGCAAUAAAUACAUUUGCAACACACGACCAGUAAAACUCUGUCCCUCAUGUGGUGUGCAGACCGGCCUUAAUUUGUUUUCAAUGGGGCUCAUUUAUAAUUUCCAUAAAAUACUGUAUGUAACAUUUGUCCUUCCAAUUUGUACAGUUCAAAGCAAUAAACAUCAAUAGCGAUGAAAACCUUGUUUCAUUUAUAUUUGUUCAAGAUAAACAUGAUUUAUUCAACCCAUGUCUUGAUUAUAAUAGAUUUUUCUUCACAAAUAACGCUUUUAUUGAUAAAUGUGAUCUAGCAAAGGGAAAUGGCAAAUAAUUGAUUAACCACGUAUGCUGUCUAUAUUGCUUGUACUGGAUAUAAGUCAACAUCCUAAGUAUUAAUUAUUUUUAUGUAAAUUGUUAUGGCUGUAUUGUUUUCAAAACCCAAUAAUGUUGUGGGUCCAUCAGACCCGCGAACAUUGGGUGAAUAAUAAAAACAUGAACACCACACAAUGGUUAAGUGCAUGCCGCCACCUACUCUGCCGGAAUGUACAAUCAAUCAUGAUCUACCCAAUUCUGUACCUCUACAUACAAUACAUCAUGACUGAUCCUAUAUCUCUGAGCCUCUCUCUGUACCUGGCAUCCACCAAAUGCUGCACCACAUUAACAGCACUUUAGCUUCACAUUGCUCAUCGUAAUCAUGUGCACCUCUACACUUGGCACAUAUUUUCUUUCCUUAACGAGGCAACACAAAUUCCCUAACUAAGGAAUCCUAUCUGUACUUUUCCCGGCAAGACUUUCUCAAACCUCAUCAUCACUGAUAAGCUUUCCCUUCUUUGACCCUCUCUCCUACUAAUCAACCUUUUGGCCUCUAUCACUCUGCCUCCCUUCACAUUUUCUUUAAUAUCAUCUCUGGACAUAGAUAUUGGGACCACAGUGAUGACUCCCUUCAAUCUUGGAUACACACCAGGGACAUGGCUUUUAAUCUUCUUCCCAUUAAGCUUUUCCAUCUAAAAAAUAUUCUCUUGCUGAGCCUGGCUACCACACAAUAUUAACUAUCUACCAUUUCCAAUGAACCGAGCUAAUUUCACC